UAUUACGAGGUGAUGGUCUAUAG
RNAcentral lists this non-coding RNA (23 nucleotides) under Arabidopsis thaliana (thale cress). Lineage: Eukaryota; Viridiplantae; Streptophyta; Magnoliopsida; Brassicales; Brassicaceae. The record is from RNAcentral.